This 507-nucleotide ribosomal RNA is filed under the name uncultured bacterium. RNAcentral's name for it is "bacterial SSU rRNA". It matches the Rfam family "Bacterial small subunit ribosomal RNA", at positions 28 to 567 of the family's 1533-position model. The record is from RNAcentral.
AAUCAACGCUGGCGGCGUGCCUAACACAUGCAAGUCGAACGAGAAAGUGGAGCAAUCCAUGAGUAAAGUGGCGACCGGGUGAGUAACACGUGACUAACCUACCUUUCAGUGGGGAAUAACCUCGGGAAACCGGGGCUAAUACCGCAUAAUGUCUUCGGACCAAAGGAGCAAUUCGCUGGAAGAGGGGGUCGCGGCCGAUUAGCUAGUUGGCGGGGUAACGGCCCACCAAGGCAAUGAUCGGUAGCCGGCCUGAGAGGGCGCACGGCCACACUGGAACUGAAACACGGUCCAGACUCCUACGGGAGGCAGCAGUGGGGAAUUUUGCGCAAUGGGGGAAACCCUGACGCAGCAACGCCGCGUGGAGGAUGAAGCCCCUUGGGGUGUAAACUCCUUUCGAUCGGGACGAUUAUGACGGUACCGGAUGAAGAAGCACCGGCUAACUCUGUGCCAGCAGCCGCGGUAAUACAGAGGGUGCAAGCGUUGUUCGGAAUUAUUGGGCGUAAAGGG